This is a non-coding RNA of Siniperca chuatsi (mandarin fish), 950 nucleotides long. Lineage: Eukaryota; Metazoa; Chordata; Actinopteri; Centrarchiformes; Sinipercidae. The record is from the annotation of a RefSeq genome assembly.
AGACGGGCAUCACCGAUGAACCAUGACAACAGAGAGGUUUCAGUACUAAAAGAUAAAAGUGUCAUGUUUUACUGUAUUAUACAUUUUGAUUACCAGACAAAAGCUUCAGUUGUUGGUGGUUAAACAUGUACAGUCAAAUCAGUUAAAACGAGUCUCCGGAUACAAAAGGAACAAAUCAAGCUGGACUAAAAUACUGAAUCACUUUCUAUAUAUUGUUAGUUUCUGUUAAUCAACAUGAGGAUGAUUCAAACAGUCAGCUGUCCCAGCACUGAGGAGGAAACACCAUGAUAUGUUGAGGACAGCUACAGUUCACUGACUCUGUGUGUUUGCAUAUCUGUCCUGCCUCUCUGCUCCCAGCCGUUAAGAGGCCAGUGUUGAUCAGUGGCUGUCCAGGCCUUUCAGAGCCACUGACACGCCGGCAGCACAAUGAUGAUGUCACUGAUUCCACUGCUGGCCACCCUGGGGCUCCUUGUUCAGGGUUCAUCAGGAGAAAUCGUCGUGACUCAGUCUCCUGGAUCUCAGUCUGUUGUUCCAGGACAGACUGUCUCUCUCAGAUGUAAAACCAGUACGAGUGUUAGUAACAUUUUUUACAGCAACCUCCACUGGUAUCUUCAGAAACCCGGAGAAGCUCCUAAACUCCUGAUUUAUGGAGCUACAACCCUUCAGUCUGGAGUUCCAGGUCGUUUUAGUGGAAGUGGAUCUGGGACUGACUUCACUCUGACCAUCAGUGGAGUUCAGGCUGAAGAUUCAGGAGUUUACUACUGUCAGCAGGGUUACAGCAUCCCGUUCACACAGUGAUACAACGUCGUACAAAAACCUCCCUCAGCUGGAGAGGAACUGAUCUGACUCGACAGCUGCACUGAAACUAAAACAUUAGAAGCUUCUCUGAAAGAAAACUCAUGAUUGUGUUAAAAAGUUAUAUUUUUAUUGUGGAAAUAUUUUUCAUACAA